Molecule: ribosomal RNA, 301 nt
Filed under: uncultured bacterium
Lineage: Bacteria
Description: partial 16S ribosomal RNA
Rfam family: Bacterial small subunit ribosomal RNA
Source: RNAcentral
CGUAGCCGCGGUAAUACGGAGGGAGCUAGCGUUGUUCGGAAUUACUGGGCGUAAGGCGCGCGUAGGCGGUUACUCAAGUCAGAGGUGAAAGCCCGGGGCUCAACCCCGGAACUGCCUUUGAAACUAGGUGACUAGAAUCUUGGAGAGGUCAGUGGAAUUCCGAGUGUAGAGGUGAAAUUCGUAGAUAUUCGGAAGAACACCAGUGGCGAAGGCGACUGACUGGACAAGUAUUGACGCUGAGGUGCGAAAGCGUGGGGAGCAAACAGGAUUAGAUACCCCAGUAGUCCCUGUCUCUUAUACA